RNAcentral lists this long non-coding RNA (2208 nucleotides) under Triticum aestivum (bread wheat). RNAcentral describes it as "long non-coding RNA (TAES_LNC013192)". Lineage: Eukaryota; Viridiplantae; Streptophyta; Magnoliopsida; Poales; Poaceae. The record is from RNAcentral.
ACUUGCAUGAUAGUCAUGCAAUAGCCAUGGUUUUCAACUUGAAUAUUUAUUAAAUGUUGCUUGUUUAAAAUAUGGUUAUCAUUGUUUGGGUAAUGCUUCUGGGUUAGUGCUUACUUGCUUGCUAUAUUGUUAUGGACCUGGUUAGCAUGUCCUGCUAGUUUCUAGUAUUACUUUCAUAUUGCCAUGCUUGAUAGUAGUACAUGUUGGGUUGGUCAUGUUCUUCGGUGCAUGACUAACGUCGGUUAUCGAGUACUGUUAAUAUGCGUUGUUCCUUUGCUGUUAGUUGGUUAAGUGUUACUCGGUAAUGUUAUUGAUGAGUCCUUGCAUGGUAUUUAUGGUUGAUGCUAGUGGUCAUGUUAUACCAUGAGUAGUGUUGCACUUGUAAUAUUUAUGCUCGUCAUUAUGCCAUGUUCAGUUUGAGAUUAUUUCAUAUGAUGGAUAAUUAUGUUGCAUCCCGUGCUUAUGUUGAUAUCAUGCUCAUGCUUUGUAUAUGCAUCAUGUUAUUUUAUCAUGGCUCAGCAUAUUGCAUUCAAAUUUAACCGGAUUAAAUUCAACUUGAACAACUGUUGGCUGAGUCAUGGUGCCACCAUAUCGAAACUGACCAGUGCAACCACGCUUACCUUAUGGGGAGGUCCUAACUGGGUCUAUUGUCGUGCCUCUUGCCGGUGCCUCCAACUAGGGAAGGUUAUGGGCGUGCGUACCCUGAUCAGGUAAGCAGACAUAACCUUGUGUGCCCGUUGUUGUUAUUUUUAUGGAUCCGGUCCCCGUGAGGGACGUUUGGCCACAACGGUGGUCGUUGUGUCUUUGGUAGACACGGGGCCACCCAGGACUAGCCCUGUUGGGAGUGGGUCGGAGUGGCCGGGAGAGUGUCAUGACAAUAGAUCGGUUUUGUCGGAACACCGUUGGUCCACCCGAAUGGGAGUGCGAGGCCAUGGGUUCCGUGGUGUGGGUACAGUGUACUAUCCUCUGCAGAGUGUAUAUUAAAUCUAUGGAUAGCCGCGCCCGCGGAUAAGGUCCCAGUUCGUGUCGGUCCCACCGUGAGUCAAUAGUAUUAAUAAUAACUUGAUCAAUGACAACCCCGGUUCGAUGAUGAGAUAAGUUGGUUGUGAUCGCCGGAAAGAUCACCGUUUCAGACCAAGUGUUGGUCAUGGUUGUGAUCGCCGGAAUGAUCACCGUGGUAUCAAGGAUACCGAGUUGUUGGAUAUUCGUGAUGUUGUGCGAGAAUCGUGGGUAAAGAUCAAGCUCAUUGUGGUCAUUUAAUGAUUACUACAGUAUUGUUUAUACCAAGCUUGAUUUGAUCCUCAGAUGAUCGUGUGAUGCCCGAGGAUGCUAAGUGAUGCAUGUGAUGGUUACAAAGUAACCCGAGCAGAAUAAAUAGUGCAUAUAGUGUCAUCAUGUUGCAUGCUAGUAGCGUCAGAUCUAUAUGUUCAUGCCAUGCUCAUGUUGUUCUACCUAUAUCAUGUUCAUGUUGUUCAUGCCAUGUUAUUCUGAUGAUCUCAUGUUAAUUCCUGCUUAACCUGUAAAUGCCAUGCUGAUGUUUGUCUUUAAUGCUUCUUGUUAUUGUGAGCUUGCAAGUACAUUCAAUGUACUGACCUGGCGUGUCAUGCCAGCUUGCAGGUCGUGCCUGGAUUGCUUGCUUGUUUGGUGUGUUCCGGUGUUCGUGAGCUAGGAUAAGCGUUCCAGCCAGAGUCCCUGCGGAGUGGAGUCCAUCAUCGCCGUUCGUUUUUCCGCUGCCAGUAGUUGUUCCGCUACCUCAACUUGUUAUGCUUCUUGCAUAGAGCAACUGAGGAUGCCGUAGUGUCGCCGUGCCGAUGUUAUUCAUUGUAAUAUUCGAGACCUUGUAUUCAUAUUCGUGUAAUAAUAGUAAGCUGGUUUGUUCUAUGCUAAGCUGUGCCGUAUUCCAGAAGACUUCUCCUCGAUCUCUGGGCUGGAAUACGGGGCGUUCCGGUUUUCUCUGAGCCGGGGUGCCACACCUAUUAACCGGAGGCCCAGCCCAGAAUUGUAGUUUUUUGCCUAUUUCAGAGUUUCGCAGAAAAAGAAUAUCAAACGGAGUCCAAACGGAAUGAAACCUUCGGGAACGUGAUUUUCGGAACGAACGUGAUCCAGAGGACUUGGACCCUACGUCAAGACAUCAACCAGGAGGGCACGAGGUAGGGGGGUGCACCUACCCCCCUGGGCGCACCCUCAACCCUCGUGGGCCCCAUGUUA